This 252-nucleotide ribosomal RNA is filed under the name uncultured Odoribacter sp. RNAcentral describes it as "partial 16S ribosomal RNA". It matches the Rfam family "Bacterial small subunit ribosomal RNA", at positions 524 to 776 of the family's 1533-position model. Lineage: Bacteria; Pseudomonadati; Bacteroidota; Bacteroidia; Bacteroidales; Odoribacteraceae. The record is from RNAcentral.
UACGGAGGAUGCGAGCGUUAUCCGGAUUUAUUGGGUUUAAAGGGUGCGUAGGCGGUAUUUUAAGUUAGUGGUAAAACGUCGGGGCUUCACCUUGAUUGGCCAUUAAAACUGGAGUACUAGAGUACAGACGAGGUAGGCGGAAUAAGUUAAGUAGCGGUGAAAUGCUUAGAUAUAUGGAAGAACACCAGUGGCGAAGGCGGCCGCCUGGCCUGUUACUGACGCUGAGGCACGAAAGCGUGGGGAGCAAAUAGG